RNAcentral lists this ribosomal RNA (253 nucleotides) under uncultured bacterium. RNAcentral describes it as "partial 16S ribosomal RNA". It matches the Rfam family "Bacterial small subunit ribosomal RNA", at positions 524 to 776 of the family's 1533-position model. The record is from RNAcentral.
UACGUAGGUGGCAAGCGUUGUCCGGAUUUACUGGGCGUAAAGGGCGUGCAGGCGGUUUGUUAAGUGCAGGGUGAAAGCUCCCGGCUCAACUGGGAGAGGUCCUUGCAUACUGGCAAACCCGAGGGAGGCAGAGGAAAGUGGAAUUCCCGGUGUAGUGGUGAUAUGCGUAGAUAUCGGGAGGAACACCUGUGGCGAAGGCGGCUUUCUGGGCCUUACCUGACGCUGAGACGCGAAAGCGUGGGGAGCGAACCGG